GAUGAAGAACGCAGCGAAAUGCGAUACGUAAUGUGAAUUGCAGAAUUCAGUGAAUCAUCGAAUCUUUGAACGCACAUUGCGCCCCUUGGUAUUCCAUGGGGCAUGCCUGUUCGAGCGUCAUUUGUACCUUCAAGCUCUGCUUGGUGUUGGGUGUUUGUCUCGCCUCUGCGUGUAGACUCGCCUUAAAACAAUUGGCAGCCGGCGUAUUGAUUUCGGAGCGCAGUACAUCUCGCGCUUUGCACUCAUAACGACGACGUCCAAAAGUACAUUUUUACACUCUUGACCUCGGAUCAGGUAGGGAUACCCGCUGAACUUAAGCAUAUCAAUAAGCGGAGGA
RNAcentral lists this unclassified non-coding RNA (337 nucleotides) under soil metagenome. RNAcentral describes it as "partial contains 5.8S ribosomal RNA, internal transcribed spacer 2, and large subunit ribosomal RNA". The stretch from base 1 to 120 matches the Rfam family "5.8S ribosomal RNA", at positions 35 to 154 of the family's 154-position model. The record is from RNAcentral.